AACGCACCUUGCGCCCCUUGGUAUUCCGAGGGGCAUGCCUGUUUGAGUGUCAUUAAAUCAUCAACUCUGAAAACUUUUGUGUUUCUCAGGGCUUGGACUUGGAGUGUGCUGGCCUUCCAGCUCCUCUUCAAAUGCAUAAGUGGAACCUUGCGGAACCAGCUCCGGCGUGAUAACUAUCUACGUCGCAGCGGUGAAGUGGCCGGAUCCGCCUACAACCGUCGCCUGUAUGCGUGCGACAGGGGCUUUUCACACCCCUAUUCUUGACAAUUUGACCUCAAAUCAGGUAGGACUACCCGCUGAACUUAA
Molecule: unclassified non-coding RNA, 306 nt
Filed under: uncultured Agaricales
Lineage: Eukaryota; Fungi; Basidiomycota; Agaricomycetes; Agaricales
Description: sequence contains 5.8S rRNA gene, ITS2, 28S rRNA gene
Rfam family: 5.8S ribosomal RNA (bases 1-52)
Source: RNAcentral